RNAcentral lists this ribosomal RNA (1355 nucleotides) under uncultured bacterium. Its description in RNAcentral is "bacterial SSU rRNA". It matches the Rfam family "Bacterial small subunit ribosomal RNA", at positions 28 to 1387 of the family's 1533-position model. The record is from RNAcentral.
GACGAACGCUGGCGGCGUGCCUAACACAUGCAAGUCGAACGGGGUUACACGAGGUGCUUGCACCAUGUGGAACCUAGUGGCGGACGGGUGAGUAACGCGUGAGCAACCUGCCUUUCAGAGGGGGAUAACAACGGGAAACCGUUGCUAAUACCGCAUGAUACCGGAUGAUGGCAUCAUUGACCGGUCAAAGGAGCAAUCCGCUGAAAGAUGGGCUCGCGUCCCAUUAGGUAGUUGGUGGGGUAAAGGCCUACCAAGCCGACGAUGGGUAGCCGGACUGAGAGGUUGAUCGGCCACAUUGGAACUGAGACACGGUCCAAACUCCUACGGGAGGCAGCAGUGGGGAAUAUUGGGCAAUGGGGGAAACCCUGACCCAGCAACGCCGCGUGGAGGAAGAAGGUCUUCGGAUUGUAAACUCCUGUCCUUAGGGAAGAAACAAAUGACGGUACCUGAGGAGGAAGCUCCGGCUAACUACGUGCCAGCAGCCGCGGUAAUACGUAGGGAGCGAGCGUUGUCCGGAAUUACUGGGCGUUAAGGGUGCGUAGGCGGUCUGAAAAGUCGGAUGUGAAAUCCCCGUGCUUAACAUGGGAGCUGCAUUCGAAACUUUCGGACUUGAGUGUCGGAGAGGUAAGCGGAAUUCCCGGUGUAGCGGUGAAAUGCGUAGAUAUCGGGAGGAACACCAGUGGCGAAGGCGGCUUACUGGACGACAACUGACGCUGAGGCACGAAAGCGUGGGGAGCAAGCAAGAUUCCAUACCCUGGUAGUCCACGCCGUAAACGAUGGGUACUAAGGUGUAGGAGGUAACACCCCUCCUGUGCCGCAGCCAACGCAAUAAGUAUCCCGCCUGGGGAGUACGGAUCGCAAGAUUGAAAACUCAAAGGAAUUGACGGGGGCCCGCACAAGCAGCGGAGCAUGUGGUUUAAUUUGAAGCAACGCGAAGAACCUUACCAAGACUUGACAUCCCUUGACAGGCAUGGAAACAUGCUUUCCCUUCGGGGCAAGGAGACAGGUGGUGCAUGGUUGUCGUCAGCUCGUGUCGUGAGAUGUUGGGUUAAGUCCCGCAACGAGCGCAACCCUUACACUUAGUUACCAGCGGGUAAAGCCGGGGACUCUAAGUGGACUGCCGGGGACAACUCGGAGGAAGGUGGGGAGGACGUCAAAUCAUCAUGCCCCUUAUGUCUUGGCUACACACGUGCUACAAUGGCCGUUACAAUGAGCAGCGAGAGGGUAACCUGGAGCGAAACUCAAAAAAGCGGUCCCAGUUCGGAUUGUGGGCUGCAACCCGCCCACAUGAAGUCGGAGUUGCUAGUAAUCGCGGAUCAGCAUGCCGCGGUGAAUGAAUUCCCGGGCCUUGCACA